RNAcentral lists this ribosomal RNA (253 nucleotides) under uncultured bacterium. RNAcentral's name for it is "partial 16S ribosomal RNA". It matches the Rfam family "Bacterial small subunit ribosomal RNA", at positions 524 to 776 of the family's 1533-position model. The record is from RNAcentral.
UACGUAGGGGGCAAGCGUUGUCCGGAAUCAUUGGGCGUAAAGCGCGUGUAGGCGGCUCGAUAAGUCUGCUGUGAAAGCCCAGGGCUCAACCCUGGGAUGCCGGUGGAUACUGUCGAGCUCGAGUCCGGAAGAGGCGAGUGGAAUUCCUGGUGUAGAGGUGAAAUUCGUAGAUAUCAGGAGGAACACCGGUGGCGAAGGUGGCCUUCUGGACGGUAACUGACGCUGAGACGCGAAAGCGUGGGGAGCAAACAGG